This 282-nucleotide ribosomal RNA is filed under the name Triticum aestivum (bread wheat). Its description in RNAcentral is "partial small subunit ribosomal RNA". The record is from RNAcentral. Lineage: Eukaryota; Viridiplantae; Streptophyta; Magnoliopsida; Poales; Poaceae.
AUGAGUUGCUUGAGGUGGAACUGUCGGGGGCUUGGGAACCCCGAGAUAGUUCGCGAGCUUCGCAGUGUUGUGAAGAAAGAAGGGAUCGCUCUGCUUGUUAUGGAGACGAAGAUCAGAGGAAAACAUGUCAAAAAUGUGAAGCACACUCUUGGGUUUGUGGGCAGUUUUGCGGUGGACAGUGAUGGCCUUAAUGGAGGCAUAUGGUUGUUUUGGUCUAAAGAAGAGAAGGUGGAACUCAAAAAUUAUAGUACUAGCCACAUUAGUGUGGUGGUAUUUGAUUAA